Molecule: long non-coding RNA, 6839 nt
Organism: Oncorhynchus nerka (sockeye salmon)
Lineage: Eukaryota; Metazoa; Chordata; Actinopteri; Salmoniformes; Salmonidae
Exons: 3
Source: RefSeq, a predicted model, not a curated record
GGUAAACUAGUAAAUAGACCAAUAAGAAAGAGAUCUGCCAAUAAAAGCUACUUUUAUUUUUCCUUUCCCCACUCAGACCACUCCCAGACAGUCCUAGAACAAUUUUUGCUUCAGAAAUGGCUCUUUGCUAAGAAGCUAUUUUUUGUUUAUUGGGUAGAACUUUUAUGGAAAACAAUCACUGUAAGGUACUUAACUGUUACACAGAAAUCAUUUGAUAUUGAGAUACAAAUGUUUAUUAAAAAUGUUUAUUUAAUUUAGUUUAAUGAAACUAGAGAUUUAGCUGAGUAGUCUAAGCAGUUGAUUUCUUAUGUAUUUCAUCUCAGUGCUUGGGAAGUGAACUGUUUUGACUAAUCAAAAAUGUCCUUUUGAUACAAAGAUCCUGGUUAAAUGGGGGAGAUUUCAGAUAAAUAAUAACAGAAGAGAAAGCUUCCAUUCCCGCUGAAAGGUGACUUCAAGCUGUGUGGCUCUUAGAUGUAAAAAAUGAAUACAAAAAAUCUGCAAUUUCGGUGUGUUUGAUGAAAACACUUGCAGCCCACAUCUUGAAAUUAGAUUAAGUAAUCCAACAUGUAAUUGGCUAUUUUUAAGAAUGUAAUUGUAAUCUGAUUAGGGCCACACAUUUAAGUAAUCUGGGUUGAUUAGUUACUUAGUUUUCGUAAUCUGAUUACAAUAUAAUCCUUGUUACAUGUAAUCUGUUAUAGUGUCGCGUGGAUGUCCUUCCAAGUCCUGUCUCGUUCACUCGACUAUUGAAAUUUUGGAAAACUUCAGUAUUGGAUUUGGCGUUUGAAUGGGAGUGCUGGCAUUCAGCAAUAAUGAACAUGUUUAGUUUUAGUGGAGAUCCCUCAAUAAUCAUUCUCACUAUAGCACAUUGGUAAUAGUCAGAGACAAAUAAACUGAGUGGACAAAACAUUAAGCACACCUUCCUAAUAUUGAGUUGAAUCUUCCGGCGCUCGUUUACAGUGAACACUGAGACUGUACCCUUACAGUUUUAGGCAUUAGACUAUUGUGGCUAUUUGAGCAUAAUGAAGGCCUACCAACAAAACCAAUGGAGCAAAUCCCAUAACACUUUCACAUGGAAAUAGCUUUUGAUUUCUAUGAUAUAGCCUACAGUAGCCUAUAUGUGGCCUCCAUUGCAUGAGACUUUUACAAACGUUUUUACAUUAUGAAGUGCUUGACAUUAAUUAUUUUUUUACUUGGUUUGUAACACCAUGAGCCAAAUAAGUGACUGUAAAUUGCAAAGUAAUGUGUUGUAUGAUGCAAGAAACCACUUUACAAAACAAAAUGAUUUAUUAUUAGCAUAGAGAGAAUUAGACAAUGUAGGCUUUCUCUUUGCCUAUUGGCUUAUUUACGUCUUCAAUCAUGUCUCAAAAUACAACACUGCCCCAUUAAGACAUAAGCUUUUUACCUGACUGGCUUUUCAAAGACAGCUUGAAAUGUAGCCUAAGCCUAAACGAUUUGUGCUUGGUAGGAAGCACAAUAGUAAUUCCCCAUUGCUGACCUAUACUUAUCUAUAACUGGGCUAAUAACUAGCAAAGAAUAUCAACAAAUUUGCACCAGCACAGCUCUGAUCUGAACUGAUUUGAAAAACACAUUCAACCCUGGGUGAUUGAAAGACCACUUGUGGGUUACCCCCACUCCCUUUGGUGCUCUGGCUCUGCCUGUAACAAAAUCACAGACUCAAUCUUGCAAAGUUAGAUUUGUUUAUUUUUUUGCAUUGAAAAGGGGCUGAUAUAAUGUUGAUUCGAUCACAGAAAAAAACGUUGAUCUAUAUAUAUAGUGCAAACUAAUGGAGCAAACUCAGUGAAGAUCAAUCUCUUGCGUCUCUGCGUGGCCUGGCAUUUCUUCAGCCCAGCAGUCCUGGACACAACCCCUGACCACAAUCACACAACUACUGACCACAACCAACUAACUACUGAUCACACAACUCCUGAACACUAGAGACUAUACCUACUGACCACAACUACUGAACACAACCAACCAACAACUGACCACACAACUGCUGACCACAACUACAACUGGGCUCCCGAGUAGCGCAGCAGUCUAAGGCACUGCAUCUCAGUGCCUGGUUCGAUUCCAGGCUGUAUCACAACCGGCCGUGAUUGGGAAUCCCAUAAGGCGCCGCAUAAUUGGCUCAGUGUCGUUAGGGUUUGGCCGGGGUAGGCCGUCAUUGUAAAUAUGAAUUUGUUCUGAUUUGCCUAUUUAAAUGAAGAUUAAAUACAAAUAACUACUGACCACAACACAACUAGGGACCAUAACUCCUGACCACAACCACUGAACACAACUCCAACACUACUGACCAAGACUAAUGAACCAUACACCAGAACUACUAACCACAACACUACUGACAACAACUACUGAACACAGACACAACCACACAGAUACUGACCAAAAUAACACAACUACAUACAAUAACUACUGACCACAAUCACACAUCUACUCACAACUACUGCACAUAACCACACAACUACUGACCACAACUACAGACCACAACUACUGAUCACAACGAACCAACUACUGACCACAACAACACAACUAGAGACCAUAACUACUGAGCACAACUGCUGGAAAAUAAGUAUUUGGUCAAUAACAAACGUUUAUCUCAAUACUUUGUUAUAUACCCUUUGUUGGCAAUGACAGAGGUCAAACGUUUUCUGUAAGUCUUCACAAGGUUUCCACACACUGUUGCUGGUAUUUUGGCCCAUUCCUCCAUGCAGAUCUCCUCUAGAGCAGUGAUGUUUUGGGGCUGUUGCUGGGCAACAUGGACUUUCAACUCCCUCCAAAGAUUUUCUAUGGGGUUGAGAUCUGGAGACUGGCUAGGCCACUCCAGGACCUUGAAAUGCUUCUUACGAAGCCACUCCUUCGUUGCCCGGGCGGUGUGUUUGGGAUCAUUGUCAUGCUGAAAGACCCAGCCACGUUUCAUCUUCAAUGCUCUUGCUGAUGGUAGGCUUUGUUACUUUGGUCCCAGCUCUCUGCAGGUCAUUCACUAGGUCCCCCCGUGUGGUUCUGGGAUUUUUGCUCACCGUUCUUGUGAUCAUUUUGACCCCACCGGGUGAGAUCUUGUGUGGAGCCCCAGAUCGAGGGAGAUUAUCAGUGGUCUUGUAUGUCUUCCAUUUCCUAAUAAUUGCUCCCCCAGUUGAUUUCUUCAAACCAAGCUGUUUACCUAUUGCAGAUUCAGUCUUCCCAGCCUGGUGCAGGUCUACAAUUUUGUUUCUGGUGUCCUUUGACAACUCAUUGGUCUUGGCUAUAGUGGAGUUUGGAGUGUGACUGUUUGAGGUUGUGGACAGGUGUCUUUUAUACUGAUAACAAGUUCAAACAGGUGCCAUUAAUACAGGUAACGAGUGGAGGACAGAGGACCCUCUUAAAGAAGAAGUUACAGGUCUGUGAGCCAGAAAUCUUGCUUGUUUGUAGGUGACCAAAUACUUAUUUUCCACCAUAAUUUGCAAAUUCCUUAAAAAUCCUACAAUGUGAUUUUCUGGAUUUUUCCCCCUCAUUUUAUCUGUCAUAGUUGAAGUGUAACUAUGAUGAAAAUUACAGGCCUCUCUCAUCUUUUUAAGUGGGAGAACUUGCACAAUUGGUGGCUGACUAAAUACUUUUUUGCCCCACUGUAUAUCCAUCCUGCCCUGCCUUUCUAAAAUCUUUGAAAGCCAAGUUAACAAACAGAUCACCGACCAUUUCGAAACCCACUGUACCUUCUCCACUAUGCAAUCUGGUUUCCGAGCUGGUCAUGGGUGCACCUCAGCCAUGCUCAAGGUCCUAAAUGAUAUCAUAACCACCAUCGAUAAAAGACAGUACUGUGCAGCUGUCUUCAACGACCUGACCAAGGCUUUUGACUCUGUCAAUCACCGCAUUCUUAUCGGCAGACUCAAUAGCCUUGGCUUCUCAAAUGACUGCCUCGCCUGGUUCACCAACUACUCCUCAGAUCGAGUUCAGUGUGUCAAAUCGGAGGGCCACAGGGUUCAAUUCUCUGGCCAACUCUUUUAUCUGUAUAUAUCAAUAUGUAUACAUGCUGCUGGUGAUUCUCUGAUCCACCUCUACACAGACGACACCAUUCUGUAUACAUCUGGCCCUUCUUUGGACACUGUGUUAACAAACCUCCAAACGAGCUUCAAUGCCAUACAACACUCUUUCCGUGGCCUACAACUGCUUUUAAAUGCUAGUAAAACUAAAUCCAUGCUCUUCAACCGAUUAUUGCCCGCACCCACCUGCCCGACUAUCAUCACUAUUCUGGACGGUUCUGACUUAGAAUAUAUUGACAACUACAAAUACCUAGGUGUCUGGCUAGACUGUAAACUCUCCUUCCAGACUCACAUUAAGCAUCUCCAAUCCAAAAUUUAAUCUAGAAUCGGCUUCCUAUUUUGCAACAAAGCCUCCUUUACUCAUGCUGCCAAAUAUACCCUCGUAAAACUGACUAUCCUACCGAUCUUUGACUUAGGCAAUGUCAUUUACAAAAUAGCCUCCAACACUCUACUCAGCAAACUGGAUGUAAGUCCAUCACAGUGCCAUCCGUUUUGUCACCAAAGCCCAAUAUACUACCCACCACUGCGACCUGCACGCUCUCGUUGGCUGGCCCUCACUACAUAUUCGUCGCCAAACCCACUGGCUCCAGGUCAUCUAAGUCUUUGCUAGGUAAAUCCCCGCCUUAUCUCAGCUCACUGGUCACCAUAGCAACACCCAUCCGUAGCACAUGCUCCAGCAGGUAUAUUUCACUGGUCAUCCCCAAAGCCAACACUUCCUUUGGCCGCCUUUCCUUCCAGUUCUCUGCUGCCAAUGACUGGAACAAAUUGCAAAAAUCACUGAAGCUGGCGUCUUAUAUGUCCCACUCGACCUUUAAGCAUCAGCUGUCAAAGCAGAUUUCCUGAUCACUGUGCCUGUACACAGCCAAUCUGUAAAUAGCACACCCAACUACCUCAUCCCCAUAUUGUUAUUUAUCCUCUUGCUCUUUUUCACCCCAGUAACUCUACUUGCACAUCAUCAUCUGCACAUCUAUCACUCCAGUGUUAAUGCUAAAUUGUAAUUAUUUCACCUCCAUGGCCUAUUUAUUGCCUUACCUCCCUACUCUUCUACAUUUGCACACACUGUAUAUAUACUUUUUUAUUGUGUUAUUGACUGUACGUUUGUUUAUGUGUAACUCUGUGUUGUUGUUUUUGUCGCACUGCUUUGUUUUAUCUUGACCAGGUCACAGUUGUAAAUGAGAACUUAUUCUCAACUGGCCUACUGUCACUUUCUGACCAUAGUUCAUAGUUUUAGUGUUGGUCAGGACGUGAGCUGGGUGGGCAUUCUAUGUUGUGUGUCUAGUUUGUCUAUUUCUAUGUUUGGCCUGAUAUGGUUCUCAAUCAGAGGCAGGUGUUAGUCAUUGUCUCUAAUUGGGAACCAUAUUUAGGUAGCCUGUUUUGUGUUGGGUUUUGUGGGUGGUUGUUUCCUGACUCUCCUGUGUUCUCUGCACCAGAUAGGACUGGUUCGGUUUUGCAACGUUUAUUGUUUUGUAUUGUGUUCAUGUUUAGUUUAUCUGAUUAAAGAACAUGAACUCUAACCACGCUGCAUUUUGGUCCUCCUCUCCUUCGACGGAAGAAAGCCGUUACACCUACCUGGUUAAAUAAAGCAGGGGGAACCAUCAGGCCCAGGCCAAAUACAGCCUAUGGCACAACAAAGAUUGGAGUGACUGUGCUGUCCAGGAUUUAGGCUGAGACCUGGGCAGCUGAUGGAAUGCUCGCUGCCCUGGCUGGGUCUGCACUGACAUGGCAGGCCCCUUGUCCACCAAGAGCCCUAAGGAGCUCUUAGGCACUUCUUUCUGAGUGGGCCAAGGAUGGACAGUUGGUGUGGGAAAAGACCGUUCAGGAAUGGUAGAUGGGAGACAGCAGGAAGUUUACCUUAUCUCAGAAAUUUGAGGUAAAUUGCGGGGCCCCCCACCAAAAAAAAUACAAUACUAAAAAAAAAUAUUUUUAGAGGAACUCAGUCCGGCUUUAAACUUACUCUUGAAUGUUUGAAUAGUAGAGUGCACAAGGUUCAUUUUCGAAACUGUAUCAUCAGUUCCUCUUGUCAUGUCAGUCAUUGCAUAUGUUAAAGAGCUAUUUAUAACUUGUCAGAAAUGUCCAGAUCAACUAGCCCAUGUCAGCUAAUGGUUUUUUAUUUAGGUUUUUCAGCCCAUAGAUAUUGUAAUUUUUUGGUCACUCAAAUAUUACAUGAACACACAUUAGACAUGGCAAAAUGUAUAUAAUUGCAAGAAAAUUUGCUUUAAAACUGCAAAAUGUUAUUUUCACCCCAUGACAAAAUGUGUAGAAUUGCAAUAAAUAAGCUUUAAACUUGCAAACACGUUCUCCACCAACAAGAGGGGUGUGAACAGUGUGUCAUCAACAAUGCUUGUGCCAGCAGAAAUAGACGAGUCACACACGAAGGGGGGAAUCUUCCCCAAUGCUGGGAACCCCUGAUCUCCAUGAAGGCAGCUGCCACUUCAUUAAAGCUAUUAGAUGCCAUUUACCACAGCACACUGCAUUUUUCCCACACAGGUGACAGUUUUUGCACUCUAUCAGAAAGUAGGCUGGCCCUCUUUGACGUCGCAUAGGUAAAAAAAAGAAAAAGCAUUCUGUUUUGCAAAAACUCCCGCAUUACCUAUUGCCAUUACUAACCUUUAGAUGUACGAGAUAACAUACCAGGUCACAGGGCUGGCGAACUUUGAAAUUCCUUCUGUCACUACAGAUUUAAGUAAAACAGCUUUUUUUUAUGAUUGUGGUUUUUUUUCUUUUUCGUUGUGUGUUUCAUAUGCUCCUGCCUUGACCGUAACUUGUAUUGUGUAAUUGCUUGGUCUUGUCAUGCAGGGCUUCCUUGAAAAAAUAUAUUGAUCUCAA